GCAUCCUCUGAGCAGCUGGCUCGGAUUGAUGCUGCUGGAUGAUGUUGCAGUUUGUCCCACUCGCGGCAGGAGCAGCUGCUGGGAUGGAGCGCAAGCUGCCUGUUCCUACAAGGAUCGUAGAAGGAAGCACCCUUCGGAUGUCCUCCUCAAUACCUCCAGAUGACCUCCCUCCCUCAUUACUUCCAAGAUCUCUUAGGAUAUCACUUAUCGCGGUGGCACGUGCGUGAUUCCCGACAUUUUACAGUGUUUAUACCACCAGGAGACUCGCGAUGCAUCAGGCACUAAAGAAAACUCUCCCAAGGAUGGCCUGCUUCAUACAGCUGCAGUUGGAUGAAGAUCAUGAAUGUUUUCUUUCAAGAGAAUCUCUAUGAAACUUUUCCCUCCCCUGUUUCUCUACAAGAAUCUCUGAUGUGUCAUCAUAUGUAUGGGGCU
This is a non-coding RNA of Delphinapterus leucas (beluga whale), 432 nucleotides long. Lineage: Eukaryota; Metazoa; Chordata; Mammalia; Artiodactyla; Monodontidae. The record is from RefSeq and is a predicted model, not a curated record.